GCGGGUGUAGUUCAAUGGUAGAACGUUAGCUUCCCAAGCUAAUAACGGGGGUUCGAUUCUCCUCACCCGCU
RNAcentral lists this transfer RNA (71 nucleotides) under Candidatus Omnitrophota bacterium. RNAcentral's name for it is "Candidatus Omnitrophica bacterium tRNA-Gly". It matches the Rfam family "tRNA". Rfam says of the family: Transfer RNA (tRNA) molecules are approximately 80 nucleotides in length. Their secondary structure includes four short double-helical elements and three loops (D, anti-codon, and T loops). Further hydrogen bonds mediate the characteristic L-shaped molecular structure. tRNAs have two regions of fundamental functional importance: the anti-codon, which is responsible for specific mRNA codon recognition, and the 3' end, to which the tRNAs corresponding amino acid is attached (by aminoacyl-tRNA synthetases). tRNAs cope with the degeneracy of the genetic code in two manners: having more than one tRNA (with a specific anti-codon) for a particular amino acid; and 'wobble' base-pairing, i.e. permitting non-standard base-pairing at the 3rd anti-codon position. Lineage: Bacteria; Pseudomonadati; Candidatus Omnitrophota. The record is from RNAcentral.